This is a long non-coding RNA of Ictalurus punctatus (channel catfish), 1245 nucleotides long. The record is from Ensembl. NCBI's taxonomy places the organism in Eukaryota, Metazoa, Chordata, Actinopteri, Siluriformes, Ictaluridae.
CUCUUAUAGUUUAUUUAGAUCAAAUAAUGCAAAAAAAAAAAAAAAAGCUUUCAUGCAUGUGUGAAAUCAAUCAACCGCACACAAGUUUGUUGUAUUUCUGUAUUACUCUCAAAACGUAACAAAAGACAUUGUGUAACAGACGUGAGAGACUCCGCACAGCAGAUCUCCGCACAUCAGCAUGGUAGAAUAUAAAAAAGUAGAAUAUAAUAUCACAUCAAGUGAAUGUAAAGUGUUUCAUGUAGCAUUUGAUAUCACUAAAUACAGGAUACAUCACAUAAAAACAUACAUGUAUAAUACAAAUAUUACAGUAAACACACCGGAGUUCAGUAUCAGAGACGACAGAGGCGUCGCUCUACUGAAUUAAAGGAUGAUAAAGCAGCGAUAAUGUCGUUUAUUAAAAUGUUCUGCAUGAAUUCAACUGGAUUGAUGAGCGUGAUGCCAUUUCCUGCCACCAGGGGGUGAUGAAGUUACAUCAUCAUCAUCAUCAUCAUCAUCAUUAUUAUUAUUAUUAUUAUUAUUAUUAUUAUUAUUAAAUUGCUGUAUUAUAAAGUUUUGAGUUUAAUAAAUAUUAAUUUAACUCUUUAAAUAAAAAUCUGCUUGUGUAUAAUUUUUAAACACAAACCAAAUUAUAAAUAUUAUAAAUCUGACCUUUUAACCACUGUUCAUUUUCAAAACACAAAAAUAUUCAGCGCGCGUACAGCAUCAUCAACGGCGCCAUCUGGUGGCUGUUCAGAGUUUUGUACCUUAAUGCAGUGAUGCGACUGGGACGUCAUCAGUUAGCGACCCAAACACUGAGAACCCACAGUGAAGGUUUUCAGAUUAGCAUGCUAACUAGCAUGUGGCUGCAACCCAAAUCAUGCUAAGUAGAACCACAGUAAUAAAUAUCUUCUCGUUACGAGCACUGACCGUUCAAUCAGCCAUUUUGUUUAUGACCGAGAACGCUCACUUCCUCGCGAGAAAGUAGUGAUGUUCUGAAACGUCCACGAUAACAAUAUAUCGUAUAAUUGUUCGGUUAAAUGCUUCCUGGCAAGACCUACUGCUACUUCUGUGACUUCCUGUUUCACAGGAUGCCAACAGGAAGUCAGUGCUCAAAAAUCAAGAAGUGGUCAGCAAAACAAAACAGAAAUCAAGGAUUGAGAUUGAGCAGUAAAAUAAAAAGAGUUCACACGUCCAGCUCGUCUUAGUCUCGUCUCCACCUCAUGUGGGUCUCGGUGUGAGGAACUAAUCAGGAACUAAUCAGGAACU